RNAcentral lists this ribosomal RNA (418 nucleotides) under uncultured Pseudomonas sp. RNAcentral's name for it is "bacterial SSU rRNA". It matches the Rfam family "Bacterial small subunit ribosomal RNA", at positions 36 to 456 of the family's 1533-position model. Lineage: Bacteria; Pseudomonadati; Pseudomonadota; Gammaproteobacteria; Pseudomonadales; Pseudomonadaceae. The record is from RNAcentral.
CUGGCGGCAGGCCUAACACAUGCAAGUCGAGCGGUAGAGAGAAGCUUGCUUCUCUUGAGAGCGGCGGACGGGUGAGUAAUGCCUAGGAAUCUGCCUGGUAGUGGGGGAUAACGUCCGGAAACGGACGCUAAUACCGCAUACGUCCUACGGGAGAAAGCAGGGGACCUUCGGGCCUUGCGCUAUCAGAUGAGCCUAGGUCGGAUUAGCUAGUUGGUGGGGUAAUGGCUCACCAAGGCGACGAUCCGUAACUGGUCUGAGAGGAUGAUCAGUCACACUGGAACUGAGACACGGUCCAGACUCCUACGGGAGGCAGCAGUGGGGAAUAUUGGACAAUGGGCGAAAGCCUGAUCCAGCCAUACCGCGUGUGUGAAGAAGGUCUUCGGAUUGUAAAGCACUUUAAGUUGGGAGGAAGGGCAGU